GCAAGAUUAAAACUCAAAGGAAUAGACGGGGACCCGCACAAGUGGUGGAGCAUGUGGUUUAAUUCGAAGAUACGCGAAGAACCUUACCUAGCCUUGACAUUGAUAGAAUCUUCCAGAGAUGGAGGAGUGCCUUUCGGGGAACUUGAAAACAGGUGCUGCACGGCUGUCGUCAGCUCGUGUCGUGAGAUGUUGGGUUAAGUCCCGCAACGAGCGCAACCCUCGUCAUUAGUUACUAACAGUUCGGCUGAGGACUCUAAUGAGACUGCCUUCGUAAGGAGGAGGAAGGUGAGGACGACGUCAAGUCAUCAUGGCCCUUACGGCUAGGGCGACACACGUGCUACAAUGGUUAGGACAAUGAGAAGCGAUACCGCGAGGUGGAGCAAAUCUAUAAACCUAAUCUCAGUUCGGAUUGUAGUCUGCAACUCGACUACAUGAAGCUGGAAUCACUAGUAAUCGUAGAUCAGCCAUGCUACGGUGAAUACGUUCCCGGGUCUUGUACUCACCGCCCGUCACACCAUGGGAGUUGAUUUCACCCGAAGCGGGGAAGCUAAACUGGCUACCCUCCACGGUGGAAUUAGCGACUGGGGUGAAGUCGUAACAACAUA
Molecule: ribosomal RNA, 605 nt
Filed under: uncultured bacterium
Lineage: Bacteria
Description: bacterial SSU rRNA
Rfam family: Bacterial small subunit ribosomal RNA
Source: RNAcentral